AUUGAACGCUGGCGGCAUGCUUUACACAUGCAAGUCGAACGGCAGCACGGGCUUCGGCCUGGUGGCGAGUGGCGAACGGGUGAGUAAUGCAUCGGAACGUACCGUGUAAUGGGGGAUAACGUAGCGAAAGUUACGCUAAUACCGCAUACGCCCUGAGGGGGAAAGUGGGGGACCGCAAGGCCUCACGUUAUACGAGCGGCCGAUGUCGGAUUAGCUAGUUGGUGGGGUAAAGGCCUACCAAGGCGACGAUCCGUAGCGGGUCUGAGAGGAUGAUCCGCCACACUGGGACUGAGACACGGCCCAGACUCCUACGGGAGGCAGCAGUGGGGAAUUUUGGACAAUGGGCGCAAGCCUGAUCCAGCCAUGCCGCGUGAGUGAAGAAGGCCUUCGGGUUGUAAACGUUCUUUACUUACGCGAAUAGAGGUUAGUACGAGAUACUAAUAGGAAGGUAGUGUAGUAAAAGACACCGGCUAACUCCGUGCCAGCAGCCGCGGUAAGCUACGUAGA
Molecule: ribosomal RNA, 507 nt
Filed under: uncultured bacterium
Lineage: Bacteria
Description: bacterial SSU rRNA
Rfam family: Bacterial small subunit ribosomal RNA
Source: RNAcentral